UGGGGAAUAUUGCACAAUGGAGGGAACUCUGAUGCAGCGACGCCGCGUGAACGAAGAAGGCUUUCGAGUCGUAAAGUUCUUUUAUAUGGGAAGAUAAUGACGGUAUCAUAAGAAAAAGCCCCGGCUAACUACGUGCCAGCAGCCGCGGUAAUACGUAGGGGGCUAGCGUUGUCCGGAAUCACUGGGCGUAAAGGGUUCGCAGGCGGAAAUGCAAGUCAGGUGUAAAAGGCAGUAGCUUAACUACUGUAAGCAUUUGAAACUGCAUAUCUUGAGAAGAGUAGAGUUAAGUGGAAUUUUUAGUGUAGCGGUGAAAUGCGUAGAUAUUAAAAAGAAUACCGGUGGCGAAGGCGACUUACUGGGCUCAUUCUGACGCUGAGGAACGAAAGCGUGGGUAGCAAACAGG
Molecule: ribosomal RNA, 403 nt
Filed under: Verrucomicrobiota bacterium
Lineage: Bacteria; Pseudomonadati; Verrucomicrobiota
Description: Verrucomicrobia bacterium partial 16S ribosomal RNA
Rfam family: Bacterial small subunit ribosomal RNA
Source: RNAcentral